RNAcentral lists this transfer RNA (65 nucleotides) under Sambus femoralis. Its description in RNAcentral is "tRNA-Trp". It matches the Rfam family "tRNA". Rfam says of the family: Transfer RNA (tRNA) molecules are approximately 80 nucleotides in length. Their secondary structure includes four short double-helical elements and three loops (D, anti-codon, and T loops). Lineage: Eukaryota; Metazoa; Arthropoda; Insecta; Coleoptera; Buprestidae. The record is from RNAcentral.
AAGGAUUUAAGUUAAAGAAACUAACAGCCUUCAAAGCUGUAAAUAAAGGAUUACUUUAAGCCUUA